RNAcentral lists this ribosomal RNA (497 nucleotides) under uncultured bacterium. RNAcentral's name for it is "partial 16S ribosomal RNA". It matches the Rfam family "Bacterial small subunit ribosomal RNA", at positions 28 to 507 of the family's 1533-position model. The record is from RNAcentral.
GAUGAACGCUGGCGGCGUGCCUAAUACAUGCAAGUCGAGCGAACAGACGAGGAGCUUGCUCCUCUGACGUUAGCGGCGGACGGGCGAGUAACACGUGGAUAACCUACCUAUAAGACUGGGAUAACUUCGGGAAACCGGAGCUAAUACCGGAUAAUAUAUUGAACCGCAUGGUUCAAUAGUGAAAGACGGUUUUGCUGUCACUUAUAGAUGGAUCCGCGCCGCAUUAGCUAGUUGGUAAGGUAACGGCUUACCAAGGCAACGAUGCGUAGCCGACCUGAGAGGGUGAUCGGCCACACUGGAACUGAGACACGGUCCAGACUCCUACGGGAGGCAGCAGUAGGGAAUCUUCCGCAAUGGGCGAAAGCCUGACGGAGCAACGCUGCGUGAGUGAUGAAGGUCUUCGGAUCGUAAAACUCUGUUAUUAGGGAAGAACAAAUGUGUAAGUAACUAUGCACGUCUUGACGGUACCUAAUCAGAAAGCCACGGCUAACUACGUG